UACAGAGGCGGCAAGCGUUGUUCGGAAUUAUUGGGCGUAAAGAGCACGUAGGCGGCCUUGUAAGUCAGUUGUGAAAUCCUUCCGCUCAACGGGAGAACGGCAUCUGAUACUGCAAGGCUAGAGUGCGGAAGGGGAGAGUGGAACUUCUGGUGGAGCGGUGAAAUGCGUAGAUAUCAGAAGGAACACCGGCGGCGAAGGCGACUCUCUGGUCCGUAACUGACGCUGAGUGUGCGAAAGCUAGGGGAGCAAACGGG
RNAcentral lists this ribosomal RNA (254 nucleotides) under uncultured bacterium. RNAcentral describes it as "partial 16S ribosomal RNA". It matches the Rfam family "Bacterial small subunit ribosomal RNA", at positions 524 to 776 of the family's 1533-position model. The record is from RNAcentral.